Molecule: ribosomal RNA, 253 nt
Filed under: uncultured Blastopirellula sp.
Lineage: Bacteria; Pseudomonadati; Planctomycetota; Planctomycetia; Pirellulales; Pirellulaceae
Description: partial 16S ribosomal RNA
Rfam family: Bacterial small subunit ribosomal RNA
Source: RNAcentral
GACGAACCGUACGAACGUUAUUCGGAAUUACUGGGCUUAAAGGGUGCGUAGGCUGCGCAGCAAGUUGGGUGUGAAAUCCCUCGGCUUAACCGAGGAACUGCGCCCAAAACUGCUGUGCUCGAGGGAGACAGAGGUGAGCGGAACUUAGGGUGGAGCGGUGAAAUGCGUUGAUAUCCUAAGGAACACCUGUGGCGAAAGCGGCUCACUGGGUCUCUUCUGACGCUGAGGCACGAAAGCUAGGGUAGCGAACGGG